UGAGGAAUAUUGGUCAAUGGACGGAAGUCUGAACCAGCCAAGUAGCGUGCAGGAUGACGGCCCUAUGGGUUGUAAACUGCUUUUGUAUGGGGAUAAAGUUAGGGACGUGUCCCUAUUUGCAGGUACCAUACGAAUAAGGACCGGCUAAUUCCGUGCCAGCAGCCGCGGUAAUACGGAAGGUCCGGGCGUUAUCCGGAUUUAUUGGGUUUAAAGGGAGCGUAGGCCGGGGAUUAAGUGUGUUGUGAAAUGUAGACGCUCAACGUCUGACUUGCAGCGCAUACUGGUUUCCUUGAGUACGCACAACGUUGGCGGAAUUCGUCGUGUAGCGGUGAAAUGCUUAGAUAUGACGAAGAACUCCGAUUGCGAAGGCAGCUGACGGGAGCGCAACUGACGCUUAAGCUCGAAGGUGCGGGUAUCAAACAGGAUUAGAUACCCUGGUAGUCCGCACAGUAAACGAUGGAUGCCCGCUGUUGGUACCUGGUAUCAGCGGCUAAGCGAAAGCAUUAAGCAUCCCACCUGGGGAGUACGCCGGCAACGGU
Molecule: ribosomal RNA, 539 nt
Filed under: uncultured bacterium
Lineage: Bacteria
Description: bacterial SSU rRNA
Rfam family: Bacterial small subunit ribosomal RNA
Source: RNAcentral